Molecule: ribosomal RNA, 468 nt
Filed under: uncultured bacterium
Lineage: Bacteria
Description: partial 16S ribosomal RNA
Rfam family: Bacterial small subunit ribosomal RNA
Source: RNAcentral
GACGAACGCUGGCGGCGUGCUUAACACAUGCAAGUCGAACGGAAAGGCCCUGCUUUUGUGGGGUGCUCGAGUGGCGAACGGGUGAGUAACACGUGAGUAACCUGCCCUUGACUUUGGGAUAACUUCAGGAAACUGGGGCUAAUACCGGAUAGGAGCUCCUGCUGCAUGGUGGGGGUUGGAAAGUUUCGGCGGUUGGGGAUGGACUCUCGGCUUAUCAGCUUGUUGGUGGGGUAGUGGCUUACCAAGGCUUUGACGGGUAGCCGGCCUGAGAGGGUGACCGGGCACAUUGGGACUGAGAUACGGCCCAGACUGCUACGGGAGGCAGCAGUGGGGAAUAUUGCACAAUGGGCGGAAGCCUGAUGAAGCAGCGCCGCGUGCGGGAUGACGGCCUUCGUGUUGUAAACCGCUUUCGCCUGCGACGAAGCGUGAGUGACGGUAAUGGGUAAAGAAGCACCGGCUAACUACGUG